AAAUAAAAACGUGCCACUUUAUAGCUUAUCAGUAAAUUCGUUCAUGACAGUACGACAUCCCGUCCGUGACUUACUAAGUUACUAACAAACUCAUGAGUGAGAGAGAGAGAGAGAGAGAGACUGUGUGUGUGAUGCUGAUGCGAUUCUCCGGAUUCCUGGGUUCGAUCCGUUUCUCUCUCUCUAUAAAUACAUGCAUCAGCGUAUGUAUAGCUGAAGAUUUGGCUGUAAUAAAGAAGGGGAGUAUAUUCUUUUCUUUCAUUAUUUUUGGUUAAAAGGAGUUACAAUCCAGAAACUAACUCAUUUUCUGUUCCCUCUUUUGUGUUUGCUGCCACCAUAUACGGAGGUUUCGUAAUAUGCUCGGAAUAUCUUGUACACUGGGGUUUUCGCCAUUAGAUUGUUGGUCAAGUAUCCAAUAAUCUAGAUCAGGCCAAAAUUUUCUAUAUUUUUUUAUACACCGGAAGAUAGUAGAAUUUUCGUUAUAUAUGAUAUUCGUGGUAAUUAAUUGGCUUCCAAAUAUGUCAUUUUAUUGAGCAGGUGGUCUAAAAGUUUGAACUUGUUUCUCUCUCUUCCAAUGGAAAAAAAAGAAGUGCCUUCUGAAAGAGAGUUUGCAAUUGGAAAACACAACGUCGUUGUCGUGACUGCAUGUAGAAUCUGCAUGUAAGUGAGAGGAAACUGCAGUUCUGUGGAACUACCAAGUUGCCAGAGAAUCUUCUAUGUUUGAUGUUUACAUGUAGAAUCUGGUAUCAAAUUCCUUGUACCAAAGUUAUCGGAUUGUGGAAAUUUUGGUUGAGUAUAGAGUAGGAUAAUGUUAUUAACCUCUGUACAUUCUCUUCAGUUCCCUCUUUUUGAGUUGAGAUCCUCUCCGGAUCUCAUUGUACGGAGUCUAAGGACCAGCAAAUUCGGAUUGUUCAAGAGAGUGAGAUUUGGGCCUUGGUUUGUGUAAGGUGCCCCAGCAGAAUAAGUUAAUAGGAACUGUCAGAUUCAAUUUGAGUGGUUCAGAUUUUCAGACAAUGAGAUCACGAGAAGAUCUCAACCUCUUCUUUGAUUCUAUUGGAAUUCUUAUGAAAAUUUGCAAGUUUGUAUUCCUUUGCCAUUUUUGUAAACUAAUCUGAUAUGAGCAAUUGUUCUUGAUUAAUAGCAUGUUUCUGGUUUUAUCCAA
Non-coding RNA from Malus domestica (apple), 1159 nucleotides. Lineage: Eukaryota; Viridiplantae; Streptophyta; Magnoliopsida; Rosales; Rosaceae. The record is from RefSeq and is a predicted model, not a curated record.